This 700-nucleotide ribosomal RNA is filed under the name uncultured bacterium. Its description in RNAcentral is "bacterial SSU rRNA". It matches the Rfam family "Bacterial small subunit ribosomal RNA", at positions 698 to 1396 of the family's 1533-position model. The record is from RNAcentral.
CAGGAAGAACAUCGGUGGCGAAGGCGACCUCCUGGACUGUGUCUGACGCUGAGGUGCGAAAGCGUGGGUAGCGAACAGGAUUAGAUACCCUGGUAGUCCACGCCGUAAACGAUGAGAACUAGCUGCUGGGACGCUUGACGUCUUGGUAGCGUAGCUAACGCGUUAAGUUCUCCGCCUGGGGAGUACGGCCGCAAGGUUAAAACUCAAAGAAAUUGACGGGGGCCCGCACAAGCGGUGGAGCAUGUGGUUUAAUUCGAUGCAACGCGAAGCACCUUACCUACCCUUGACAUCCUCGGAAGCUUUCAGAGAUGAGAGUGUGCCUUAACCGGAACCGAGAGACAGGUGCUGCAUGGCUGUCGUCAGCUCGUGUCGUGAGAUGUUGGGUUAAGUCCCGUAACGAGCGCAACCCCUAUCCUUAGUUACCAGCGAUUCGGUCGGGAACUCUAAGGAGACUGCCGGUGUUAAACCGGAGGAAGGUGGGGAUGACGUCAAGUCAUCAUGGCCUUUAUGGGUAGGGCUACACACGUGCUACAAUGGGCAGUACAAAGGGUUGCCAACCCGCAAGGGGGAGCUAAUCCCAAAAAGCUGUUCGUAGUCCGGAUUGGGGUCUGCAACUCGACCCCAUGAAGUCGGAAUCGCUAGUAAUCGCAAAUCAGAAUGUUGCGGUGAAUACGUUCUCGGGCCUUGUACACACCGCCCA